ACGCUCGACACCUACGGGAGGCAGCAGUGGGGAAUAUUGCACAAUGGGGGAAACCCUGAUGCAGCGACGCCGCGUGGAGGAAGAAGGUCUUCGGAUUGUAAACUCCUGUUGUUGGGGAAAAAGNGGAUGGUACCCAACAAGGAAGUGACGGCUAACUACGUGCCAGCAGCUGCGGUAAUCUGAGCGGGCUGGCAAGGC
RNAcentral lists this ribosomal RNA (198 nucleotides) under uncultured bacterium. RNAcentral describes it as "partial 16S ribosomal RNA". It matches the Rfam family "Bacterial small subunit ribosomal RNA", at positions 328 to 539 of the family's 1533-position model. The record is from RNAcentral.